CCUACGGGUGACAGCAGUAGGGAAUCUUUCACAAUGGGCGAAAGCCUGAUGGAGCAACGCCGCGUGCAGGAUGAAGGCCUUCGGGUUGUAAACUGCUUUUAUAAGCGAGAAAUAUGAUGGUAACUUAUGAAUAAGGAUCGGCGAAAUACGUGCCAGCAGCCGCGGUCAUACGUAGGAUCCGAGCAUUAUCCGGAGUGACUGGGUGUAAAGAGUUGCGUAGGUGGCAUAAUAAGUAGCGAGUGAAAUCUGGUGGCUAAACCAUUCAGACUAUUAGCUAAACUGUUAAGCUCGAGACCGUUAGGGGGAACUGGAAUUUCUAGUGUAGGAGUGAAAUCCGUAGAUAUUAGAAGGAACACCAAUAGCGUAGGCAGGUUGCUGGGACGGUUCUGACACUAAGGCACGAAAGCGUGGGUAGCGAACAGGAUUAGAUACCCUUGUAGUC
Molecule: ribosomal RNA, 442 nt
Filed under: uncultured bacterium
Lineage: Bacteria
Description: partial 16S ribosomal RNA
Rfam family: Bacterial small subunit ribosomal RNA
Source: RNAcentral